This 1180-nucleotide ribosomal RNA is filed under the name marine metagenome. RNAcentral's name for it is "bacterial SSU rRNA". It matches the Rfam family "Bacterial small subunit ribosomal RNA", at positions 545 to 1520 of the family's 1533-position model. The record is from RNAcentral.
UCGGAAUGAUUGGGCGUAAAGGGUCCGUAGGCGGUUUCCUAAGUUAGUUCUAUAAUUUUAUGGGCUCAACCUUAAAAGUGAACUGAGACUAGUGAAACUACGAGUUUGAGAGGGGAUAGUGGAAUUCCUAGUGUAAGUAUAAAAUCUCUAGAUAUUAGGAGGAACACCAGUAGGCGAAGGCGACUAUCUGGCUCAAAACUGACGCUGAGGGACGAAAGUAUGGGUAUCGAAUGGGAUUAGAGACCCCAGUAGUCCAUACCGUAAACGAUGAGUGUUAUAUAUUCGGAUUUUUCAUUUUACUGUAAUUUUAAUUUGUAAAAUUACGGUCGCGCUUCAUAAAUAUAUCUUUUAGAUAUAAAAACGUGCAUUUAAGUCCUGAAUUAACAAGUAUUAGUUAUUAAUUUAACAAUCUUUUUUUAUUUAUUUUUAUUGUUUAACAAUUUUAAAAAUCUGAGUAUAUUUAUAAAUAUUUAUAAAGCUAACGCGUUAAACACUCCGCCUGGGGAGUACAGUCGCAAGACCGAAACUCAAAGGAAUUGACGGGGGCCCACACAAGCGGUGGGGUAUGUGGUUUAAUGCGAUGAUACGCGCAAAACCUUACCAGCUCUUGACAUUUGACUAUGAUAUAUGUAAUGGUUCUACAUAUAUCGCAAGUUAAAAUAGAUUUUAACUUUUUAAAAAAGAGUCAAACAGGUGUUGCAUGGCUGUCGUCAGCUCGUGUUGUGAAAUGUUUGGUUAAUUCCUUUAACGAGCGUAACCCCUAGAUUUGAGGUUUCAUUUUGAAUUUGCAAAAUUAAAUUUCAAAUCUACUGCCAUUUAUAUAUUAGAGGAAGGUGGGGAUGACGUCAAGUCCGCAUGGCCCUUAUGAGCUGGGCUACACACAUGCUACAAUGGCAAUGACAGUGAGAAGCGAUGGCGCGAGCCGGAGCAAUUCUAUAAACGUUGCCUUAGUACGGAUUGUAGGCUGCAACUCGCCUACAUGAAGUUGGAAUCGCUAGUAAUCGUAGAUCAGCACGCUACGGUGAAUUAGUACUUGGGCCUUGUACAUACCGCCCGUCACACCCUGGAAAUUGUUUCUAAUUGAAGCUUGUUACCUAACCGUAAGGAGGGAAUCUGUGAGAUUGGAGAGAGUGACUGGGGUGAAGUCGUAACAAGGUAGCUGUAGGGGAACCUGCUGCUG